Long non-coding RNA from Acanthochromis polyacanthus (spiny chromis), 447 nucleotides. RefSeq lists it as uncharacterized. The transcript is spliced from 4 exons. The record is from RefSeq and is a predicted model, not a curated record. NCBI's taxonomy places the organism in Eukaryota, Metazoa, Chordata, Actinopteri, Pomacentridae.
CAGUGCUGCGGCUCUCAGAGCGAUACAAUCUGAACUACUCGAAAGAUGAACAACUCAGACCCUCAGUCCGUGCAUCCCUUCACUGGCCAUAAUACUGAAAAGAUGAAAGAAAGAAGUCCUUUGAAUCAGGUAGUGACUUUUAAACCGUCCAGCAUGCAGAGAGUCGUCCAGGUGAUGCACAGAAUGGCUGAGAAGAGCUACCUUAGAGCCUGUCGGCUCUUCUGCCUGCCUUUAGAACCGAUGCUGUGUGAAAAAGCCACAUGCUGUUCAGCUCCAAGCCAUCAGCCCGAGGAGGAUACAAAUGCACAAGUUGCACUCCGCAGUCCACCGUCCACCAUUUUGAUCGUCAACAUCAGCAACUCCACCUUAAUCGACUGUGUCAUCGGAAACGAGAGCUACCCGUCCACUGUGACAGAACGUCAGCCUCUGAUGCAGGAAUCUGAGCUC